This 890-nucleotide long non-coding RNA is filed under the name Phoenix dactylifera (date palm). Its description in RNAcentral is "long non-coding RNA (PDAC_LNC002452)". Lineage: Eukaryota; Viridiplantae; Streptophyta; Magnoliopsida; Arecales; Arecaceae. The record is from RNAcentral.
GAGGGGAACCAGAAUGUGGCCCUAAUCGGCGGUCUGUAGAUGGUGGCCAGACAGUUGCAGGCAAUAAAAUUGUGGAUUCCAGACUUCAUUUUUAGAGUGGAUAGGGUGAAGACGGCUGUGGUUUGGGUCCGGAUUCCCUGCUUUUUGUUGGAAUAUUAGGAGAGGGCGUCGAUUUUGGAGUCAUGCGAAGGAAGAUAAGCCUUCCUUCGGGCGAAAGCCCCCUCAUUAUCACCUUAUCUUCUGUCAAGAAAUUAAACCUUUGCUUUGUUCAUAAAAGCAAUUAUCAUUGCACGGAGAUUCGUCGAUGGGCUUUUCCGUAAUUCCCUGGAACGGGAGGGGCAUCGUUCCCUCACCCAGGCGGCCAGGCCGCCGCCGUAGCCAGAAGCUAGAGACGUACACGAGGGUCUAAUCGACGCGUACCGCGUAGGAACCGCACCGGACCAAUCACAUGUCGGUAGUCUACUUUACACGUGUACCAUGGGUCGAUCAUAAACUAUUCACCGUAGUGCCCUGGCCUAUCAGGAACGUACAUGAGUGAUCCAACGGCUACAACCAAUGAGCCUUUCUUUACUAGCUGUCAAACUCCAACUGUCAUGAUCCGCAAACGAUUACCCUUGCAACGGCAGCAGAGCCACGAAACAAACCCCAUGACUCUUACUCGGCUUUGCUCUACUUUGACAGCCUUUAUGAAAGAACAGCAGUUCAUCUCCCCCACGAGGGCAACCUGAUUAUCGAGCAAAUUCGAAGUCAGAAAAAUGCUACAAAGGAACAACCGUUGUAUCAUGAUAUUUACAGAUUUUUGAAAGGAUAUGGCUUCUAUACAGUCACACAUGUCUAUAAAAAGAAAAAUGACGCGAUCGACUGGAUUGCGUUCUUUGCUACUCUAGAAG